RNAcentral lists this non-coding RNA (121 nucleotides) under Acidovorax sp. RAC01. RNAcentral's name for it is "Glycine riboswitch aptamer". It matches the Rfam family "Glycine riboswitch aptamer". From Rfam's summary of the family: This family represents the bacterial glycine riboswitch. The record is from Rfam by way of RNAcentral. Lineage: Bacteria; Pseudomonadati; Pseudomonadota; Betaproteobacteria; Burkholderiales; Comamonadaceae. RNAcentral also lists the same sequence under 1 other name.
CAAAAGCCGUCUGGAGAGCCGCUGCAACCCACUACCGGGCCUGCAGCGCACCGAAGGAGCAAACCGCAGCCCGGGUGGGAUGGCGGUGAAUCUCUCAGGUACCAAGGACAGGGGGAGCGGC